UCGAGCGGGACAUACGACGGAACCAAAGUUUCGGAUGGAGGUGAAGAUGUAUGUCUAGCGGCGACGGGUGAGUAACGCGUGAGCAACCUGUCCCUCACAGGGGGAUAACACAGCGAAAGUUGUACUAAUACCGCAUAAGACCACGGUAAGACAUCUUACAGGGGUCAAAGGAGCAAUCCGGUGAGGGGUGGGCUCGCGUCCGAUUAGAUAGUUGGUGAGGUAACGGCCCACCAAGUCGACGAUCGGUAGCCGACCUGAGAGGGUGAUCGGCCACAUUGGGACUGAGACACGGCCCAAACUCCUACGGGAGGCAGCAGUGGGGAAUAUUGGGCAAUGGGGGGAACCCUGACCCAGCAACGCCGCGUGAGGGAAGAAGGUUUUCGGAUCGUAAACCUCUGUCCUUGGUGAAGAGUAAGAGACGGUAGCCAAGGAGGAAGCCCCGGCUAACUACGUGCCAGCAGCCGC
Molecule: ribosomal RNA, 465 nt
Filed under: uncultured bacterium
Lineage: Bacteria
Description: bacterial SSU rRNA
Rfam family: Bacterial small subunit ribosomal RNA
Source: RNAcentral